GAUGAACGCUGGCGGCGCGCCUAACACAUGCAAGUCGAACGGUUAAAGCAUCUUCGGAUGUGUAUAAAGUGGCGAACGGCUGAGUAACACGUGGGCAACCUGCCCUUUGCACUGGGAUAGCCUCGGGAAACCGAGGUUAAUACCGGAUACUCCAUAUUUGUCGCAUGGCGAAUAUGGGAAAGCUCCGGCGGCAAAGGAUGGGCCCGCGGCCUGUUAGCUAGUUGGUGGGGUAGUGGCCUACCAAGGCAAUGAUGGGUAGCCGGGUUGAGAGACCGACCGGCCAGAUUGGGACUGAGACACGGCCCAGACUCCUACGGGAGGCAGCAGUGGGGAAUCUUGCACAAUGGGCGAAAGCCUGAUGCAGCGACGCCGCGUGCGGGAUGAAGGCCUUCGGGUUGUAAACCGCUUUCAGCAGGGACGAGGCCCGCAAGGUGACGGUACCUGCAGAAGAAGCCCCGGCUAACUACGUGCCAGCAGCCGCGGUAAUACGUAGGGGGCAAGCGUUAUCCGGAUUCAUUGGGCGUAAAGCGCGCGUAGGCGGUCUGUUAGGUCAGGAGUUAAAUCUGGGGGCUCAACCCCUAUCCGCUCCUGAUACCGGCAGGCUUGAGUCUGGUAGGGGAAGAUGGAAUUCCAAGUGUAGCGGUGAAAUGCGCAGAUAUUUGGAAGAACACCGGUGGCGAAGGCGGUCUUCUGGGCCAUGACUGACGCUGAGGCGCGAAAGCUAGGGGAGCGAACAGGAUUAGAUACCCUGGUAGUCCUAGCUGUAAACGAUGGACACUAGGUGUGGGGAGAUUAUACUUUCCGUGCCGCAGCUAACGCAUUAAGUGUCCCGCCUGGGGAGUACGGUCGCAAGACU
Molecule: ribosomal RNA, 856 nt
Filed under: Fannyhessea vaginae
Lineage: Bacteria; Bacillati; Actinomycetota; Coriobacteriia; Coriobacteriales; Atopobiaceae
Description: bacterial SSU rRNA
Rfam family: Bacterial small subunit ribosomal RNA
Source: RNAcentral